GAUGAACGCUGACAGAAUGCUUAACACAUGCAAGUCGAUGGGGAAGUGGUGCUUGCCCCAUGGCAACCAUGGCGGACGGGUGAGUAACGCGUAAGGGACUUACCUGCAGGACUGGGAUAACAGGGGGAAACUCCUGACAAGACCGGAUAAUGUCAUGGAGCUGCAUGGCUUUAUGAUGAAAGGAGACGCCUGCGGAGAGCCUUGCGCCCUAUUAGCUAGUUGGUGAGGUAAUGGCUCACCAAGGCGAAGAUAGGUAGCCGGCCUGAGAGGGUGGACGGCCACAAGGGGACUGAGAUACGGCCCUUACUCAUACGGGAGGCAGCAGUGGGGAAUAUUGGACAAUGGGGGCAACCCUGAUCCAGCAAUUCUGUGUGCACGAAGAAGGUUUUCGGAUUGUAAAGUGCUUUCAGCAGGGAAGAAGUAAGUGACGGUACCUGCAGAAGAAGCGACGGCUAAAUACGUG
RNAcentral lists this ribosomal RNA (463 nucleotides) under uncultured bacterium. RNAcentral describes it as "partial 16S ribosomal RNA". It matches the Rfam family "Bacterial small subunit ribosomal RNA", at positions 28 to 507 of the family's 1533-position model. The record is from RNAcentral.